This 253-nucleotide ribosomal RNA is filed under the name uncultured bacterium. RNAcentral's name for it is "partial 16S ribosomal RNA". It matches the Rfam family "Bacterial small subunit ribosomal RNA", at positions 524 to 776 of the family's 1533-position model. The record is from RNAcentral.
UACGUAGGGGGCGGGCGUUGUCCGGAAUCAUUGGGCGUAAAGAGCGUGUAGGCGGCCCGAUUAGUCCGCUGUGAAAGUCCAGGGCUCAACCCUGGAAUGCCGGUGGAUACUGUCGGGCUAGAGUCCGGAAGGGGCGAGUGGAAUUCCUGGUGUAGCGGUGAAAUGCGCAGAUAUCAGGAGGAACACCAAUGGCGAAGGCAGCUCGCUGGGACGUGACUGACGCUGAGACGCGAAAGCGUGGGGAGCAAACAGG